Molecule: small nucleolar RNA, 104 nt
Organism: Medicago truncatula (barrel medic)
Lineage: Eukaryota; Viridiplantae; Streptophyta; Magnoliopsida; Fabales; Fabaceae
Source: Rfam
CUUAAGUACGUGUACCUGCUGUAAAUAUGGACAGAUAGCAAUGUGUGGGCUUUAGGUGGGUUUGACGAAGUCUCAAAUUACUCAUGAAGAUCCCACAUACAUUG